AAUAAACCAAUUUUUUACUUUUUACCUUUAAUUUUUAACUCUUCGUCUUAUCUAACAAAUUUUUACGAUUGAUAUUUUUUUAUUAGAUAAUAAAUCAUAAAUAGUACUUUACAUGUGACUAAUUUUUUUCUAAUUUCCUAAAAUUUUUUUAAAUAAGACGAAUGGUCAAACGUCGGACAUAAAAACCGGAG
Molecule: microRNA precursor, 191 nt
Filed under: Oryza brachyantha (malo sina)
Lineage: Eukaryota; Viridiplantae; Streptophyta; Magnoliopsida; Poales; Poaceae
Description: MIR812 microRNA precursor family
Rfam family: MIR812 microRNA precursor family
Source: Rfam by way of RNAcentral